Molecule: ribosomal RNA, 267 nt
Filed under: uncultured Enterobacteriaceae bacterium
Lineage: Bacteria; Pseudomonadati; Pseudomonadota; Gammaproteobacteria; Enterobacterales; Enterobacteriaceae
Description: partial 16S ribosomal RNA
Rfam family: Bacterial small subunit ribosomal RNA
Source: RNAcentral
UGGGGAAUAUUGCACAAUGGGCGCAAGCCUGAUGCAGCCAUGCCGCGUGUAUGAAGAAGGCCUUCGGGUUGUAAAGUACUUUCAGCGAGGAGGAAGGCAUUAAGGUUAAUAACCUUGGUGAUUGACGUUACUCGCAGAAGAAGCACCGGCUAACUCCGUGCCAGCAGCCGCGGUAAUACGGAGGGUGCAAGCGUUAAUCGGAAUUACUGGGCGUAAAGCGCACGCAGGCGGUCUGUUAAGUCAGAUGUGAAAAUCCCCGGCUAAGCC